Molecule: unclassified non-coding RNA, 242 nt
Filed under: fungal sp.
Lineage: Eukaryota; Fungi
Description: partial internal transcribed spacer region
Rfam family: Eukaryotic small subunit ribosomal RNA (bases 1-46)
Source: RNAcentral
AAGUCGUAACAAGGUCUCCGUUGGUGAACCAGCGGAGGGAUCAUUACUGAAGGUCUACGUACCUAAAACCAUUGUGAACCUUUUCCUUUGCUGCCUCGGCGGGCAAUCCCAGGGCGGGAUUCCUGGCCUCUUUUAGGGGCGUCCGCCGGCGGUGCACCUCUCUAGCUCUUGUCUGCGACAGGCUUCUGAGUGGUCUUGAAAAAACAAGUCAAAACUUUCAACAACGGAUCUCUUGGCUCUCA